This 513-nucleotide ribosomal RNA is filed under the name Ralstonia insidiosa. RNAcentral's name for it is "bacterial SSU rRNA". It matches the Rfam family "Bacterial small subunit ribosomal RNA", at positions 36 to 515 of the family's 1533-position model. Lineage: Bacteria; Pseudomonadati; Pseudomonadota; Betaproteobacteria; Burkholderiales; Burkholderiaceae. The record is from RNAcentral.
CUGGCGGCAUGCCUUACACAUGCAAGUCGAACGGCAGCAUGAUCUAGCUUGCUAGAUUGAUGGCGAGUGGCGAACGGGUGAGUAAUACAUCGGAACGUGCCCUGUAGUGGGGGAUAACUAGUCGAAAGAUUAGCUAAUACCGCAUACGACCUGAGGGUGAAAGUGGGGGACCGCAAGGCCUCAUGCUAUAGGAGCGGCCGAUGUCUGAUUAGCUAGUUGGUGAGGUAAAGGCUCACCAAGGCGACGAUCAGUAGCUGGUCUGAGAGGACGAUCAGCCACACUGGGACUGAGACACGGCCCAGACUCCUACGGGAGGCAGCAGUGGGGAAUUUUGGACAAUGGGGGCAACCCUGAUCCAGCAAUGCCGCGUGUGUGAAGAAGGCCUUCGGGUUGUAAAGCACUUUUGUCCGGAAAGAAAUCAUGCCGUAUGACGAUCAGUCAUGGCACUUACUAAUAUUAGGUGUGGAUGACGGUACCGGAAGAAUAAGGACCGGCUAACUACGUGCCAGCAGC